This is a long non-coding RNA of Leucoraja erinaceus (little skate), 9165 nucleotides long. RefSeq lists it as uncharacterized. The transcript is spliced from 3 exons. Lineage: Eukaryota; Metazoa; Chordata; Chondrichthyes; Rajiformes; Rajidae. The record is from RefSeq and is a predicted model, not a curated record.
AAAAAAUUAUGAGCUGGUCACCCAUGUGGGUGCAUAUGAUUGGAUAGUAUAACCUGCUGCAAGAAUUUCUUCUGUAUCCCUGUCUGCUAGAAAUCAAAAGAUUUGCUGGCAUCCCAUCCUGUCUGUUUCGGUCACUUUCCUCCCCACCAUUUUACACCCCUAGCAUCUUCCAUGGCUUAAUUUCAGAUGGUAGAAAAAUGCUGUUCAUUUUGUUUUUCCCCAUUAACCCCUAAAUUUGUGAUGCAAUCUAUAUUUGGGAAUUGUGGAAAUUCCCAGCUUGCACAUAAUUGAACCCAAUGUUAAAGGUGCUCAGGGGAUUUUUUUUUGCAUAAUCAUAUUUUUAUCCCGCAGUAUGUCAUUAGAUUUACCUCAUUUCAAUGCCAAUCAUCAAUAACUUAAUUUCCAUAUUUGCUGGUCAGAUUGACUGAAUUCCUAUCUAGCUUUUGGCAUGUGCAUCAAAGCAGUUGCCUUUUUCUAAAAUAUACUGAUGUUUGCAUGUCCGUAGCACAUCAGCUUGACAAUAUUAAUGUGCGGAUUUAAGCAAAAAGAUAAUUGUACAGAAAAUCCAUAAUGGGAGUGCUGAUUCCACAUUGGGAAGCUUGUGUAGCGAACUGAUAGGGUUCGUUUGCAAUUCUGACCUUUCUGCUUACUACUAGGCAAUGUUCAUUUUUUGGGGGGGGGGUUAUUUUAAAGAUCUGCCUUCAUAGUAAUGUUGAAGGGAGUUAACUAGGGUUGUAAAAUAUAAAUAAUGCAUAGCUUGGAUAAAUGCAAAGUUAGGAGUGAAAAUAAAUUUCAAAAUGCGUUUGGUCAUUUUUCCCCUCCAAAUUGUACAUCUAUCUAGUGCAUGCAUUUCAUGCCCCUGGUUAACUCCCUUCAACAUUACUCUGAAGACAUCUUCAGCAUUUGUGGACCUCUUUUGUCUCCAUCUGGGAACAUUAUGUUCUUGUUGCAUGUAUUCGAGGUCAUCAAGUUGGGUAAGUGCAUAACUAUUAAAGUGGUUCUCGAGCCAAUGAGGUUGACUUCGUGGAGCUGAAAGUUACAAUGUAGGUGAAAGGCUACAAUAUGCCAUGAAUGAAAGACUACAGGAGGUGAAUUCAAAUGGAAGCAAGGUGCAAGAAGGGCGAAACAAUGCAAACAGAAGGUAGGCGAAGAUAAGAAGAUUUUCUGUCCUUUUCUCCCUAUUUCAUUAUUAAGAUUUAUAUUUGUCAUCUGCAUGCUUCUCUGCUGUUCAUAAGCAGUACAGAACAGGCCCUUUCCACAAUAUCCACACCGAACAUGAUGUCAAGUUAAACUAACUUCUGCCAGCAUGUGAUCCAGUCCCUACCUAUCCAGAAGCCUCUUAAAUGCUACUAUCAUAUCUGCUUCCACCAUCUCCCCUGGCAUUGUGUUUCAGGCACCCACCACUGUAAAUAAAAACUUACCCCACAUAUCUCCUCUAAACUUUGAAACAAAGGUGAGAGGGGCAGUGAUGCAGCAGUUAUUUUGUAUGCAAUACGAUGCUCAAACAGCAGUGAAAUAAACUGAUAACUUUUAGUUGCAGAAUUAAGCAUUCAAUUUUUAGGAAAAUAAUACCAGCAAUUUUGGGUAGAGAGGUAGAAUCUAGAUGUGGAUGGAAAGAUGAUGCCUUUCUAUUAAGGGAAUUCCAGAGCUUAAAAUCAAGCAGCCAGUACCAAAAAAGGUCAAUGUGCUGGAAAAGGCUCAGCGGAUCGGGCAGCAUCUCGAAAGAACAUGGAUAGGUGAUGUUUUGGGUCCGGACCCUUUGGCCCUAUACCAGGGCCAUUGGUUGGUUGAAGGAUACAGUGCAAAGGAGACUAGAGGCUUACACUUCAAGUAGUGGCAUAGCAUCUUUAAACUGUAUGUAUAUCAAUGAUCGUUAACGUGUCAUCUCAUCCAUAGGACAAGUUUGGUCAAUUUAGAUAUUCAAGAUUUGGGGGUAAAGUACAUCUGAAAUAUUGAAUUUUUGGAGAAUAUAAAAAUUGCCUGGUCGGUAAGUUGUCAGAAAAUACAAGUUAACAGUGAAUUUAUUCUUAUACUUUGCUGUUUUUAGUUUGAGUGUGAUUUUUGCACAUGUUUUGGUGUAAGCACAUGUAUGGAGGAGUUGAAAGAUUAUAGAAGAAUGGUAAAAAUAAAAUGGGACUGAUGGGGUUGUUUUGCUGGGAGCUAGCAUGGAUUUAAUUGCGUGGCAGCCUCCUAUGUUGUGAUGAACUACGUAGGAAGAAUGUUAUGUACCGUUGUUACACAAAUGUAAAUUUGUGCUCCAAUUUGAUUUGUAAAGUAACUGGACAACCAAACGAGUUGCCAUUUGAUUACCUGCUGCAGGAUGCGCUGUCUUUGAACCUUUUCAACCAGCAGAAGCAAAUUUGGCGCCUAAAAUUAUUAACCUGUGUUCUACUUUAUUCAGAGAUAUUCUAUUAUUGGUUUACUUAGCCAUAAUUACUGAAACCACCAUCUGCUCCCUCAUUUUUGUCUGGAUGGUAAUUGCUCAAAAUUAAUAUUUUAAAAUGGUUUUCAUUUUUGAAUUUUAUCUAAUUCUUGAUCUUUAAUACAUCAGCCAUGAUUGAAUGGCAGAGUAGACAUUGUGCCGAAUGGUCUAAUUCUGCUCCUAUUACUUAUGGACUUUAUUUUUGGUAUCCAUUGUGCUUUACCUUGAUUUUCCAACAUUUAUGAGGAAACAUUUUAAGAUGCUGUGAAUCUUUAUGCUGAUUUUGUUUGAGUUGCAUUCCGGAUAUCACUGCUGUCACAUAAAGCUAACCAGUUAUACAUUGGUGCUUUUCAAUUAAUCCCAUGCUUUCCCUUCUAGGUCAUUAAUUGCACACUUCUCUCAUAGCCAAAGAGCAAAACAGCAGGCUAUUUUGGGUCAUGAACUUCUCAACAGCCGUCAUCAUUGCUGUCUGCUGAUCUGAUAAAGCAACACUUCUAUUUAUUUGCAUCAAUCUAAAUUGAAAUUCAGCAAGCUCUCCGAUUGCCGUGUCUCAUAAUGGCUCAUAAAGCGCAGAGGGAGAAGAGGAGGGAAGAGACUGCAGCCCUAAGAUUUUUGCCUCCAUCACAGUGAGGAGGUGCUUGGAGGAUACACUGUGGUGGAUGUUAAUUUGUGUUUAUUGUUGUUUAUUAUUGUAUGAUUGUAUGUAUGACUGCAGGCACGAAAUUUCGUUCAGACCGCAAGGUCUGAAUGACAAUAAAGGUAUUCUAUUCUAUUCUAUUCUAUUCUUCUUUGACUUUCAUUGGCACAACUUUGGUCCUCAUGUUGAUAAACAGCAAUAAGUUUCCAAAGGUGAUGGAAAGAUUAGGUGCUGAGAGCUCUCUUGUGCCUGCAUUAGGAGGCAAUUAAACACCUGACUAAUUACAAAAGCUUGUGAAGCCAUGUGUCCCAAACAUUAUGGUGUCCUGAUGGGGGGAAACUAUGUAUAACACAGCUGUAAUUUCUACAUGGUGUAAUUAAAAUGUAUACAAAUACCCUUUAAUAAAAUCUGACCGUGCACUUUAACCACAUGUGACUUUUUAUUACAAAUCUCAAAUUGUGUACAGAGGCAAAUAAAUAAAUAAACAUUAUGGAGGUCACUGUAGAUGGACAGUCUGGCUAAAUGUGGUUUGUUCCAACACAUGACUUUAGAACACUUCAAAUGGUCUGUCACAUCUGUCUGGUAUGCUCAGCUAUUUCUUGGCUAAAGGGUGGAUUCCCAUAAGCACACCUGCCUGGAGGCUAAUGAGCCUCAUCCGCUUGUCUUUGCAGGUCAGACUACAACUUGUGCUCUGAUGCAAAGAUGCCUAGUAAUAACUGCUGUGUCGACUGUCCCCAUCAAUCCAUUUGGUCUUGCCUUAUCAGAGAUUUUGUUCUCCCCAUUCCUCUGUGAAGCACACUUCCAUUUUCUGUUGUUAAAAACUAACUUUUAUUUUCCUUCCCAGUCCUGAAGGAUCUCUCACUGGAAAGGUUAACUAUUUAUCUUUCCACAGAUGAACCCUGAUCUGGUAAGUGCCUCCCUGUUAAGUUGAAUGUCAUUAACUUAAUAUUAGUUGGUAAUUAGACAAUGGUGAUUAUUGUACACUUGGAAGUUAUGACAAGAUUGGAAAUGGUAUGCUUGGAGGGGGAACCAGAAGAUUAGGGAGACAAAGAAAAUAAAAUUGUGACCAUAUUUACAUUCUAUACAAUCAAGUAACAAUUAAAGCUUGCUGAGGGAAGACAUUACAUGAACAUUAUGGAAUCAUUGACUCGCUACUUCAUUUUUCACAGACGACAGAAUUUUUUUUAAAGAAAGUAGAAUUUGAAACAGUCUAUAGUUAUAGAAAAGUUUUAAAUGCCUGGAGUUUGGUAAAGGCCAUGUUUUUACAUUUUCUUUGCAGAAAUACAAAAUUCAAAGGCAACACUGGUAUGCUACAGAUAUCCAAGGGAGGAGGAUAUGGGGGCGGGGUCAAGUGUCAAUGCCACAUCGGAGAUAAGCAACAAAAUUCAGUGCAUGGAAAUAGCUACUAAAAGAUAAAUGUUAAAGAAUGUUCCCCAAGUGUGAUGUGGGUCCCACUUGAAUAAAUUAUUCCAACUUGUAAAAUGGAGCAUUGUCAUUGAAAAUUGCAGAUGAUGGGGUUGGAGAAUGCCAGGAGAAUGGGGUUAAGGGAAAACUAGUUCAGUCCUUAUUGAAUGACACGCUAGACUCAAUUCAAUGGGCUAAUUCUGUUCCAAUGCCUUGCGGUCUUUCAUUGAAGGCUCUACCCUGGUUUGACUUCCCAUGAUGCACACCUUUCACCUAUCUGAAAUGUCAAAUUACCUAACUGGCACACCACUACUUGCAUGCCUCCAGUCUGAGAAACAGCCUUCCAAAUUAUCUCUGUCAUCGAGUCAUGGAUAUACAGUGUGGAAACGGGUCCUUCAGCCCAACCUGCCCCCACCGGCCAACAUGUCCCAGCUACACUAGUCCCACCUGCCAGCAUUUGGUCCAUGUCCCUCCAAACCUUUCCUAUCCAUGUACCUGUCUAACUGUUCCUUAAAUGUUGGGAUAGUCCCUUCCUCAACUCUCUUCCCUGGCAGCUUGUUCCAUACAUUCUCCACCCUCUGCUUCCUAUCAUCCAGCCUAUUAUGUAUCCAAUUAGCUUGCUCGCCUUAUAACCCACCAUGGUCUUGCUAUGAUCCAUGUAGAAAAUGUCCACUGCCUGGUCCUCAGCAAUCCUUUUGGUUACCUCUUCAAAAAAAAGGUUAGUGAGAUACUAUUUUCCCCACAUCAUGCUGACUAUCUCUAAUCAGUCCUCGUCUUUCCAAAUACUGGUAGAUACUGCCAUUUGAAUCCUGUCUUAAUAACUUACACAUCACUAACCGGCCUGUAGUUCACAGGAUUCACCUUACUGCCCUUUAACAUUAGUUACCCUCCAGUCUUCUAGAACUUAAUAUGCCACUAAAGAUGAUGUAACUAUCUUUGUAAAAUUCUUAAGGGGUUGGACAGGCUAGAUGCAGGAAGAUUGUUCCCUAUGUUGGGGAAGUCCAGAACAAGGGCCCACAGUUUAAGGUUAAGGGGGAAGUCUUUUAGGACCGAGAUGAGAAAAAUAUUUUUCACACAGAGUGGUGAAUCUGUGGAAUUCUCUGCCACAGAAGGUAGUUGAGGCCAGUUCAUUGGCUAUAUUUAAGAGGGAGUUAGAUGUGGCCCUUAUGGUUAAAGGGAUCAGGGGGUAUGGAGAGAAGGCAGGUACAGGAUACUGAGUUGGAUGAACAGCCAUGAUCAUAUUGAAUGGCGGUGCAGGCUCGAAGGGCCGAAUGGCCUACUCCUGCACCUAUUUUCUAUGUUUCUAUGCAAGGACAUCCCAAAUUUAUUCCCUAGCUUUCCACAAGAUCCAAGGGUGCAGAUGGGGAUUUUUCCAGCUUAAUAUUCUUGAAGACCAGCAAUAGGUCGUUAGUAAUUUAUAUGGAGCAAGGUAUCGCAACUCAUUCUUCUGAAGAAAGGUCUUGGCCCAAAACAUCUCAUCCAUGUUCUCCAGGGAUGCUGCAUGUGUUGCUGUGUUACUCCAGUGCUUUGUAUCCUUUUAUUUAUCACAACUCAUUUGCCUCACUUGGUAUCUUCCAUGAUCAACACAGUAAAAACUGAAGAAGAUUGUUAAAUAUCUUGCCCAUCUUUUUAUGGCUCCACACAUAGAUUGCCAUACUGAUGAUCUUUAAGCCUCCUGCAUUGAACUAAAUGCAGCUUAAACUACUAGUCUUCGUUUUCUUUGCUGUGCUCCUGGCUAUUAAACCUGCUCUCUUUGACUACAGUAUUUGUUCCCAACUUCUCAUUGCCUAUUUUCUGCUUUUGGACCCAUUCCCCAGCCAAUCUACUUAAAACAUCUCUCUCUCUCUCAAGAGAGAAAAUCUCCUGCUCAGGAUAUUGUUACCCCUUCAGUUCGGGUGCAGGUUACCUCCGCCUCGUAUCCCAAUAAUUCAAAAUUCCGAAUUGCUGCUCCUGCACCAGCUCAGCCACACAUUCACCUGGUUUAUCCUUCUAUUUCUACCCUACUAACAUGUGGCACUGGGAAUAAUCAAAGAUUAUUACCCUUGAGGUCCCACUUUUAAUUUUUUCUAACUCCUAUAUUCAUUCUGUUACUGUGUGGAGAUACGAGGUAACACCUACAAAACCAACCUACAGCCAUUACGCACAUUACAAAAAAGAGCAAUAAGAAUUAUCAAUAAAGUUGGAUAUCUUGAACAUACCAAUUUAUUAUUCUUAACGUCACAUACACUGACGUUCACCGAUAUGGUUAAAUUUAAGACUGUGCAAAUCAUGUACAAAGCAAGAAAUAAUUUACUUCCAAGAAAUAUACAAAAACUGUUUAUGGAAAGACAGGGUGGGUAUAAUUUGAUAGAGGAACAUAAUUAAAAAAAAACUCAAUGUCAGAACAACUCUUAAAAGUAUGUGCAUAGUAAUCUGUGGUGUGAAUUUGUGGAAUGGUCUGGAACAGGAGAUAAAACUUAGCACAAGCAUAAUUCAGUUUAAAAAGAUGUACAAAAACACUUGUUUAAAAGGAUAUUGGGAUGAGGAUAGGUGAUUGUGAUAUUUGUUAUACUGAUUGUAUUGGGAAGGGUGAUUAUAGAGUGAUGGGUUGUAUAUAUGACUAAGAUACUGUAUAAUAUUUGUGGGGUUUUUUCUUUUCUUUUUCUUUUUUGUAUGGCUUUGUAAAUAUUUGAUGAGAGUUCAAAUGUAAAUAAUUUGGUGUACAUAUAGUGGCUGGUGUACAUAUAGCUGCUAAAUUUGUAUGAGAUAAAUACAAGCAGUUGAAUAAGGGGUGGGAAUUAAUAAGCUUUGGCUUCUUCCUGCUCCUUUUCGGACACAUAUGAUUUCAUUUAUUUAUAGAUAUUGUUUAUAACACUUUAUAAAUAUUUGUGUUUUGUUUUUUGUAUGCUGUUUCACAUUUGCUUGUUAUUAUUUUAUUCUGUCCGAAAUAAAUAACUAAUAAAUAAAUAAAUAAAUUCUGCAGGAUUUUAUUCCUUUUUCUAAUGUCAGAGAUAAGUAACAAAAUUCAGUGCAUGGAAAUAGCUACAAAGAUAAAUGUUAAAUGUUUUUCCCACAUGUGAUGUGGGUCCCACGUAUAAAUUAUUCCAACUUGUAAAAUUGAGCAUUGUCAUUGAUAAUUGCAGAUAAUAUCAAUUUAAUAACUGACAGAAUUUUACUAAUAUUUGAGAAGACUAGGGUUUAUUCAGUGUUAAUUGGUGAAUGGAAUCCAGCAUUGGAUGUUUCACUUUUUGAGAAGACUGUUUUAAGCUAUGAAAGAAACUAAGUAGUGCAAGAGACCAAAUAUACCAGGGAGUAUUGACAUAUAAAAUGCACCAACUCCAGUUGAUAAAUAAUGCUCAAUGAAGAUAUUAACCAAAACUGUGCACAAUUCUCCAAAUGUGGCCUUGCCAACAUCUUGUACAACUGCAACAUAACAUUGGAACUGGUGUGCUCAGUGCUCUACCUGAGGAGGGACAACGUGCCAAAUGCCUUCACCCUGCUACGCAUGGUUUUGUCAAGGGGAAAUCUUGCCUGACAAAUCUAGAGUUUCUUUGAGGUGGUAACAAGCAGGAUGGAUAAAGGCGAGUCGGUGAAUGUUACAAUGCCCUCCAUAAUGUUUAGGACAAAGACCCAUUUGUUUAUUUGCCUCUGUACUCCACAUUUUGAGAUUUGUAAUAGAAAAAAAUCACAUGUGGUUAAAGUAUACAUUAUCAGAUUUUAUUAAAGGGUAUUUUUAUACAUUUUGGUUUCACCAUGUAGAAAGUACAGCUGUGUCCCCCCCCCAUUUCAGGGCACCAUAAUAUUUGGUACACAUGGCUUCUCGGGCGUGUGUAAUUGCUCAGAUGUGUUUAAAUGCCUCAAUGCAGGUAUAAGAGAGCUCUCAGCACAGAAUUUCUCCAGUCUUUCCAUCACCUUUGGAAAAUUUUAUUGCUGUUUAUCAACAUGGGGACCAAAGUUGUGCCCAUGAAAGUCAAAUAAGCCAUUAUGAGACUGAGAAACAAGAUUAAAACUGAUAGAGGCAUCAGCCAAACAUUAGGCUUACCAAAAUCAACUGUUUGUAACAUCAUUAAAGAGCACUGGUUAGCUUAUUAAUCGCAAAGGUAUUGGCAGGCCAAGGAAGAUCUCCACAGCUGAUGACAGAAUUCUCUCUCUAAUCUAUAUUAUUAAAAGUAAGAUCUUGACCACUUCCUGUUUUUCAGUUUCAUGAUUUUUGAAAAAACGCUGCCAUUUACGGCCGUGAUUUUCGCCAUCUUACUCAGAGUCCCCUUCCGCUGCGCAGGACGAGGAUUGUUCCCAUCGAUUAAAAAUAAAAGAGUUAUUAAUGUUAAAAAAAUGUUGACAUUCUCUCUGCUGCCCCUGCUGGUGGGAGGGGGAGGGACUAUAAAACCUGGAAGUGUUGUGCCUCACUCAGUCUCUGCAAGAUGGAAGAAGCGAGAGGGUCACGUCUCUGAGCUGUGAAUAACACUGAACACAUGUCUACUCAACUGAGUGCCCUUAACGUGGUUUGAAAAUGAAAAUUUGGUUGCUUUGAAAUGCUGCACUGCAAAUUGUUGUUGGUGGUGGUAGUAACUGCUUUGAAAUGCUGCACUGCAAAUGGUUGUUGGUGGUGGUAACUGCUUUGAAAUGGCAUUAAACAGCACUAGCAUUUGGUGGCCCUGCACCCUGCUUGAAGUGGUAUGAAACUGCACUUGAGUUUGGUGGCCCUGCACUGCUUGAAGUGGUA